Molecule: ribosomal RNA, 274 nt
Filed under: uncultured bacterium
Lineage: Bacteria
Description: partial 16S ribosomal RNA
Rfam family: Bacterial small subunit ribosomal RNA
Source: RNAcentral
AUACGGAGGGGGCUAACGUUAUUCGGAAUUACUGGGCGUAAAGCGCACGUAGGCGGCGUAUCAAGUUAGAGGUGAAAGCCCAGGGCUCAACCCUGGAAUUGCCUUUAAGACUGAUAUGCUUGAGUUCGGAAGAGGGUAGUGGAAUUCCAAGUGUAGAGGUGAAAUUCGUAGAUAUUUGGAAGAACACCAGUGGCGAAGGCGGCUACCUGGUCCGAUACUGACGCUGAGGUGCGAAAGCGUGGGGAGCAAACAGGAUUAGAAACCCCAGUAGUCC